AGCAGCCGCGGUAAUUCCAGCUCCAAUAGCGUAUAUUAAAGUUGUUGCAGUUAAAAAGCUCGUAGUUGAAUUUCGGGAUUGACGUGAUGGUCGUACCUUAAGGGGUAUGAACUGUCGCUGUUGAUUUCUCACCUUCUGGAGAAACUUAGAUGUCCUUAAUUGGGUGUCUUGCGGAUCCAGGACCUUUACCUUGAAAAAUUAGAGUGUUUAAAGCAGGCAUUUUUGCUCGAAUACAUUAGCAUGGAAUAAUAGAACAGGACGGCAUGGUUCUAUUUUGUUGGUUUCUAGGAUCACCGUAAUGAUUAAUAGGGAUAGUUGGGGCAUUAGUAUUCAAUUGUCAGAGGUGAAAUUCUUGGAUUUAUUGAAGACUAACUACUGCGAAAGCAUUUGCCAAGGAUGUUUUCAUUAUCAAGAACGAAAGUUAGGGGAUCGAAGACGAUCAGAUACCGUCGUAGUCUUAACC
Molecule: ribosomal RNA, 463 nt
Filed under: uncultured Entrophospora
Lineage: Eukaryota; Fungi; Glomeromycota; Glomeromycetes; Entrophosporales; Entrophosporaceae
Description: SSU rRNA
Rfam family: Eukaryotic small subunit ribosomal RNA
Source: RNAcentral